Molecule: long non-coding RNA, 734 nt
Organism: Cyprinus carpio carpio
Lineage: Eukaryota; Metazoa; Chordata; Actinopteri; Cypriniformes; Cyprinidae
Source: Ensembl
GUGAAAGAGAGCAUGCACAUCACGUUAACAUCGGACGACACCAGAGCGAGAAGCUGCCAUUUUCUCAGCGUCUUCAGAUGAAAGCGAGUGAAAGACGGUUUAUGAUGUUGAAAGCCAGAGGCAUAGGAGAGCAUCAUUCUUUUGGGAUUGAUAACUCAAACCAACUUUGGAGUUGUCUGAUUUGGAGAGUCAUCAUUCUUGGUCUUCCUUUCUUAAAGGAAUAGCUCACACAAAAAAAUCAUUUACUUGCCCUCACAUCAUUCCAAACCUAAAAGACUUUUGUCUAUCUUUAGAAUACAAAUGAAUAUAUUUUUAAUUUUCUCUCAUAAUUUUUUGUGAAUCCAUUGAGAGUCUAGAUAAUCAGUAUUUUCAAGCUUCAAAAUCACAGAGUUAUUGUAGAAGUAAUCCAUGCCAAUAUUUAUAUAUGAAUAAAUACGAACAUGUCUGUUCAGAAGAAAAUAUUGGUCUCCCAGACUAGCAAUGGAGGACAAAAAUUAAGAGAAUAUUAAAUAUGUUUAUUUGUGUUCCAAAAAUUAGCAGAGUUUGUAUGGGUCUGGAACAACAUGGGGAGAAUAAAUUAUGACCAUUUUUAUUUUUUGUUGAACUAACCCUUUAAAGAGCAGCCCUCCACAUACAUGAAAAUUUGUGAGGCCACUGAUGAAGAGCAGGCGGUGACUAGGAUGAAUGCUGGUCAAAGAAGAGAAUGUCCUUUCCCCUAAACUGAUGCAGCAGUG